Molecule: non-coding RNA, 76 nt
Organism: Homo sapiens (human)
Lineage: Eukaryota; Metazoa; Chordata; Mammalia; Primates; Hominidae
Source: RefSeq, marked provisional
GAGGGAGCUGUAGAGCAGGGAGCAGGAAGCUGUGUGUGUCCAGCCCUGACCUGUCCUGUUCUGCCCCCAGCCCCUC